RNAcentral lists this ribosomal RNA (460 nucleotides) under uncultured bacterium. RNAcentral's name for it is "partial 16S ribosomal RNA". It matches the Rfam family "Bacterial small subunit ribosomal RNA", at positions 338 to 795 of the family's 1533-position model. The record is from RNAcentral.
CCUACGGGUGGCAGCAGUGAGGAAUAUUGGUCAAUGGUCGUAAGGCUGAACCAGCCAAGUCGCGUGAAGGAUGAAGGUUCUGCGGAUUGUAAACUUCUUUUAUCGGGGAAUAAAGGUAUCCUCGUGUGGCUAUUUGCGUGUACCCUAUGAAAAAGCAUCGGCUAAAUCCGUGCCAGCAGCCGCGGUAAUACGGAGGAUGCGAUCGUUAUCCGGAUUUAUUGGGUUUAAAGGGUGCGUAGGUUGUUUUUUAAGUCAGCGGUGAAAGUCUGUGGCUCAACCCUAGAAUUGCCGUUGAAACUGGAAGACUUGAGUGUGUUUGGUGUAGGCGGAAUGUAUGGUGUAGCGGUGAAAUGCAUAGAUAUCACGCAGAACUCCGAUUGCGAAGGCAGCUUACCGGGCCAUAACUGACACUGAAGCACGAAAGCGUGGGGAUCAAACAGGAUUAGAUACCCGGGUAGUC